RNAcentral lists this long non-coding RNA (525 nucleotides) under Oryza sativa Indica Group (long-grained rice). Its description in RNAcentral is "lncRNA OsMH63_10G007040". The record is from RNAcentral. Lineage: Eukaryota; Viridiplantae; Streptophyta; Magnoliopsida; Poales; Poaceae.
AUGGUGAGGCCGAUAUGCAGGGGCUAUCAGUGGCGUUAUGGUGAGGCCGAUGAUGCAGCUAGAGCAAGGAUGGUGUCUUGUCCGCUAGGAGCUUGCAAGACCCUUCCUGCACCAGAAAGGCAAAACAGAGGCCGACAGAGGGCACAUGAAGAAGGAGACAGUAGGGGCUUCAGCAGGCACCUCUCUCGCACGAUCGAGCCGGGAGAAACAAGAAUUAGAAGACAAUCAGUGUCAGCAGUUCAGCGCUCCUCAGAGAAUCAUGCUCCUCUGCAGUCCAACAAGAACUCGACAAAGGUCGGCUCCCCCUGCAAGUCUCUUUCAAGCAAUAGAAGCAAGAGCCCGGAUGCAGGCUCCGCUCCAUCUCUCCCCUCUCCUGCUGUCCCAGUUGACUCACCUGAUUUAGCCCCUCUAAUGCAGGUUUCGGGUGCUGUCCUGGAUAUCCUAGAGAAGCACCUGGACCCCAUGAUCCAUGAAGCUGAAAUGGCACAUGCACUGUAUUCUCCAGAUACUACACUUCCACGUCCU